Molecule: long non-coding RNA, 314 nt
Filed under: Cricetulus griseus (Chinese hamster)
Lineage: Eukaryota; Metazoa; Chordata; Mammalia; Rodentia; Cricetidae
Description: lncRNA (ENSCGRG00000024427.1)
Source: RNAcentral
CCUCUGACUCUGAGCUCUCCUCGGUCACUUUGUAAAACAUCGGAAACAGUCCAAGAAACACAGGACUUUCCACCAGGAUUUGCACCUCUGUCCCUGUCCCCGGCACAGACUGGGUUUUUCAGUUCUAGUGUGAUAUGACCUAAUGGUGCCCAUGUGGACUUUUGGGCUACCACCAGCACCCCCUCCCCCCAACACACAGACAGAGCCCUGUUUCUCAACCCAGCAUCGUACCAGACACAGGACUGGAGUCUGAUGAAGGAAUAGCUGAAUAAAUAAAUGAGUGAAGAGCCAGGAAGUUCUGGACCAUGGAGAAG